Oncorhynchus tshawytscha (Chinook salmon) is the source of this 2746-nucleotide long non-coding RNA. RefSeq lists it as uncharacterized. The transcript has 4 exons. The record is from RefSeq and is a predicted model, not a curated record. Lineage: Eukaryota; Metazoa; Chordata; Actinopteri; Salmoniformes; Salmonidae.
UGGUGAUCCUAACUGACCAAAGACAGGGAUUUUUUUACUAGGAUUAAAUGUCAGGAAAUGUGAAACUUGAGUUUAAAUGUAUUUUGCUAAGGUGUAUGUAAACUUCCGACUUCAACUGUAUAUUGUUGAAAAAGGGGACCGUGUUUUCAGUGAUGAGCUUCAACUGGGUCUUGGGAGAGGGAUGUUUUUUAGGGAGUUGCCUCAGACCCCAGCUAGAACUAUAGAUGUUGUCGACUCACCACAUUUUUGCUCCACUCGGGUGCCUAACGACACACCCUCAGCUCCUUUCAUUAUGCUUAGUGACACUCAGAUAGUUCAGAGGUGGCCAGCCCUGACUUGGGAAAUCUUACCACACAACUCACCCAUCAGAUAGGACAGUCUAUAUCAGCUCAGAUUAGGAAGGAAGGUGAGAGGAAGGAGGAUAGAGGCGCACAUUCUCAGAGCUCCAGUACAGGACAGACAUUCACUGACACACCCUCCCUUCAUUUAUCUGGUAUGAAGUUGGUCGUGCAGUCUGACGUGAGAGAGACUCCAUGUUUCAGAGGGGAGGGGUCUGACAAGUCCUCAGUACAUGAAUGGGAGGAGCUCAUGGACGCUUACCUGAGAAAGAGGAGAGUGCCGGUUAGAACAGCCACAGGAGAUCAUGUCCAAGCUUCUGGGGAGAGGUAGAGACAUCGUAAAGAUAAAACUCCGCAGCAAUACAUCUCUGAAACCUCACGAGAACCCCAAAGUGAUAGAUAUACUGAAAUAACUUUUCAGUGAGUCGACAUAUUCAUCCAUGUCUCUUGCCGAUUUUCUUUUUAUAAUAAUUUGCAAGUACUAGGAGGAAAUGCCAUGAAGUACUGGAUCCGUUUGAAUAAGGCAGUAGAUGUGGCCGAGGAGUGUUUGAGGAGGCAGGGUCGGCACAUCGAGUACUUCAGCCAAGAGUCAUUAAAAGAGAGACAACCGGCAGAAUUGUGUCCAGAGCCUCGUCUUCCACCUACACCUUACAAGAACACAAUGCAGAACGGACAAAUCUAGGCCGUUCCCCUCUACCCUCCCGUAGUCCCCAGGUCAAACAUCUCCUGGUACCGCUUACUGCUGGUUCUGGUCGACUGCAGGAAAACACUGGGGCAGAGUGGAACUGAGAGAGGAGGAGAAGAUAAGGAAGAUGGAGAUUUGAUUUCAUUAACGGUCAGCUCUACCUGUAGCUCUCUCAGUGGGAGGGGCUUAUCAUAAGGGGAGCCUCAACAACAACAUGAUGCUGACAAGUCGUCUCUCCAGAAGAGUCUCUCCAGAUCAGAACGUCUCAAUGAACACCAGCAAAGACUUAUAGGAAGAAACCUCACCACCGCUGCUCUGACUGUGGGAAAAGUUUUGCUAAACAGAGAAAAUUGGUCAUUUACCAGUGGAUUCAUGCUGAAGGGAAGCCUUAUAGUUGUGAUCAGUGUGGGAAGAGUUUUGCUUGAGAUUUCACCGUGACCAAACACCGACUUAUACACACAGGAGAGAGGCCUUAUAGCUGUAAUCAGUGUGGGAAGAGCUUUAAUCAAUCAGCAGCCCUGAGCACACACCAACGCAUACACACUGGAGAGAGACAGGAGUAAGGUGUAUGUGGAAAGAGCUUUGCUCAAUCGGGGUCACUGAAAAAAACACCAGGAAGCACAAACAUGUUUUCUUUCAUCCCUCCUCUUAGGCACCUGUUCAAUAUAUCUAAAUAAAGUUUGAACAGAAAACAUAUUGUAAAGAGUCAGCUCUGGAACCAUAUGUAAUCAAGCUUCUUGGAGUAGGAGUGGUGUGUGUGUGUGGUGGGGUGGGGAUGUUCAGAGCUGUAUCUUACUUCAAUAACUCCUAUUAUCUAUUCAUGAAUUGUGUUUCAACAAUACAAGGUGUGUAUUCAUGUAUUCAAUAGAUCAAUAAAUAUAUUCCAUUAUCUGCUCAACAACGUCUGCUUAUGACAUUAAUUAUGUGUUUUUAAAAAUCGAAUAAUCCAUUUUUAAAAGGACCAUAGUCCUCUUGUAUAAUUAGUUUGCUCCUAAAAGAUGUUCACAUAUUUAUUUUAAAACCUUUCACCAGGUUUUAGUGUAGCUGAUGGGACACAUAGAAGUACAGAAGAUAUAGGACUAUUAGUGUCGUCAAAUUAAGUUGUUGAAUUUAUUUUAAAGGAUUUAAUUUGUGAUAUCUUUGAACUUUCCUUAUUGUGUAUUAAGUGUGCUCCAGAAAGAUGUUCACACAUUUUAUUGUGAAUCGAAUGAUGUGUUGGUUGUUAGGAAGAGGCAUCAUGGGGGCAGGAAGCCAGCUCUGCCCAUCAGUACCUGUAGGUCAACCACAGACCUCACACUCUUCUGUUUCCUCACGGCCAGUAAGGUCUCCUACCAAACCUCUCUCUCUUCACACUGGAAAUACACUUGAUAAUAUCUUAUACCUCAACAUUCUACUGUUUAUUGGUGAUUUGUUAUGUGGAACGAAUGCUUGCAUGUAAAUGUCAUUGUAAAACAUACAUAUGAAUGUGGUUUCAUGUUUUCUUUUACAUUGCUGAUUGGAUAUACAUUUUUUUUUUAAAUAUGUAUUUUUUAAAAAUGUUUAGUUGAAUUCUGUAGAAGAGACCAGGAUAUGUUGUUACCCUGUGUCCCAAUACUCAAUGUUGUAGUCAUGGUCCUGAGAAUAAAACAGGUUUUAAACAAUCAACAGAGAAACACGUGUCUUACAGUGCUACACAUGUCUCUCUUUAUGUUUCUAGGCUGCAGGGAGGGAGAUGCAACAACAG